CGCAGUUAGCCCAAGCCCAAGGCCAGUUUAAGUCGGAAAGUCUCAAUCAACACAUUAUGUUCAUGUUCCUUUGACUAGCAAGUUUAGAAGAAUCCAGGACCGAAGAACAGAGGCACAGCGAUUCAGAUUUCUGGAGAUAUAUUCUUCUGUUGACAAACCACCAUUAAGCAGUAUCACUCAAAGUAAAGAAAGAAAAUAUGGAUGAUGGAGACAUUAAGCUUUCAGAUAGUUUCUUCUUGUCGAAUCCAGAGUCAUCUAGCAAUGUUCAGUCUCCGACAUCCAUAAAAUCAAUGAAUUCUUGAGGAACACCAGAACAUGCACCCAUACUCGCACUUGCAACCCUCCUGGCCCUGAUGCAGCACAUACCACACAUGUUACCACACUCCCCACACCCCCCACCCCCCACUCCCACUCAAAACGAAAACGGCCUUCGGGUAAUAGAGAAGCUGUUCGACAGUAUGGGGAGGAGAAGGAGGCACAGACAGCUUACCUGGAGGAGGAAGUUAAGACACUGCGUCUGCAGAAUCAGCAAUUAGUUGUUUUAGUUUGCCUUUAGAUGAGGUUGUAAACAUGGAUUGUUCCUAUUUUGGGUUAUUAGGCUUACUUUUAUAGCACGCCCCAUGCUAAAAGAUCUUGUUCUUUCUAUUUACUUCAGCAUGCAUGGCGGAAGAAUAUGCAAUGUGCUUCCUUGC
This is a long non-coding RNA of Prosopis cineraria, 692 nucleotides long. RefSeq lists it as uncharacterized. The record is from RefSeq and is a predicted model, not a curated record. The transcript is spliced from 2 exons. NCBI's taxonomy places the organism in Eukaryota, Viridiplantae, Streptophyta, Magnoliopsida, Fabales, Fabaceae.